Long non-coding RNA from Cyprinodon tularosa, 589 nucleotides. RefSeq lists it as uncharacterized. NCBI's taxonomy places the organism in Eukaryota, Metazoa, Chordata, Actinopteri, Cyprinodontiformes, Cyprinodontidae. The record is from RefSeq and is a predicted model, not a curated record. The transcript is spliced from 3 exons.
AAUGCAAAAGCCUGGGCCUCCCAUGCUCAGCAGCUGACAUGCUGAGUGGUGUGCUGCAGCAAACCAUCACUGAUGGGAGAGAGUGAGGGGCAGCAAUCGGCUGGCAUACAGUACUGUACCUCAAUCAGACCUAAGUUUGAAGGGGGAAAAAAGAAGAUAUAGAGAGGAAGAGCGAGAGAGAAGGAGUAUUUGCAGGAUAUAAGGGAGAAAUAAAGAGAGAAACAAAGAGAAAGCUUGGAAAAUAACAAGAGGGCAGAAAGGAAGAGAAGGAUAGGGGAGGAAAACAUGAGGGAACCCACAUUCGGCGACAGACUGAGACGCUACAACUCCACACCAAGUCUUUGGUAAGUGUCCUGAUCUUGUGGCAUGUAGGACAUCUCAUCCUUGUUUUUAAACUCCAGACUAAGGAUGGAGGGUGGAAGAAGCAGACCUAAGAUGACCUGAUUGAUGAGGGAAAAGUAAAAAAAAGAACGUCAAGUCUUUGCAACCUCAGAAUUAUUUUUCAGCUAUGGACUGUACUGUGUUAAACAGACGGCCUGUUUAGCAUAAUCCAUCCUUUAAUCUAUUACGCUGAAAAAAAAAAUGCAAC